Molecule: non-coding RNA, 101 nt
Organism: Electrophorus electricus (electric eel)
Lineage: Eukaryota; Metazoa; Chordata; Actinopteri; Gymnotiformes; Gymnotidae
Source: RefSeq, a predicted model, not a curated record
CUGUAUAUGCUGGAUUCAUUUCAUCAGACAUGGUGCCUCUUUCCCACGUGGCCACUGUCUAUGUUCCUGCCCUGGUACCUGCCUAUGCAACUGCUGACGGC